AGAGCGAACGCUGGCGGCAGGCUUAACACAUGCAAGUCGAGCGGGCGUAGCAAUACGUCAGCGGCAGACGGGUGAGUAACGCGUGGGAACAUACCUUUUGGUUCGGAACAACACAGGGAAACUUGUGCUAAUACCGGAUAAGCCCUUACGGGGAAAGAUUUAUCGCCGAAAGAUUGGCCCGCGUCUGAUUAGCUAGUUGGUGAGGUAACGGCUCACCAAGGCGACGAUCAGUAGCUGGUCUGAGAGGAUGAUCAGCCACAUUGGGACUGAGACACGGCCCAAACUCCUACGGGAGGCAGCAGUGGGGAAUAUUGGACAAUGGGCGCAAGCCUGAUCCAGCCAUGCCGCGUGAGUGAUGAAGGCCCUAGGGUUGUAAAGCUCUUUUAGUAGGGAAGAAGCGAAAGUGACGGUACCUGCAGAAAAGCACCGGCUAACUACGUGCCAGCAGCCGC
Molecule: ribosomal RNA, 452 nt
Filed under: uncultured bacterium
Lineage: Bacteria
Description: SSU rRNA
Rfam family: Bacterial small subunit ribosomal RNA
Source: RNAcentral